UAGUCCACGCCGUAAACGAUGAUUACUCGCUGUAGGCGAUACACAGUCUGUGGCUAAGCGAAAGUUUUAAGUAAUCCACCUGGGGAGUACGAUCGCAAGAUUGAAACUCAAAGGAAUUGACGGGGGCCCGCACAAGCGGAGGAACAUGUGGUUUAAUUCGAUGAUACGCGAGGAACCUUACCUGGACUUAAAUGUACGUUGCAUGGAUCAGAGAUGGUUCUUUCUUCGGACUACGUACAAGGUGCUGCAUGGUUGUCGUCAGCUCGUGCCGUGAGGUGUCGGGUUAAGUCCCAUAACGAGCGCAACCCCUAUCCUUAGUUGCCAGCGGGUCAUGCCGGGGACUCUGAGGAGACUGCCGGCGUAAGCCGCGAGGAAGGUGGGGAUGACGUCAAAUCAUCAUGGCCUUUAUGCCCAGGGCUACACACGUGCUACAAUGGCAGGUACAAAGAGUCGCUAAGCCGCGAGGUAGAGCUAAUCUCAGAAAACCUGUCCCAGUUCGGAUUGG
This 505-nucleotide ribosomal RNA is filed under the name uncultured bacterium. Its description in RNAcentral is "bacterial SSU rRNA". It matches the Rfam family "Bacterial small subunit ribosomal RNA", at positions 791 to 1301 of the family's 1533-position model. The record is from RNAcentral.